UACUCUCGUUGCUUUGGCGGGCCGCCGGGCCCUGCCCGGCCGCCGGCCCCGGCUGGCGCGUGCCCGCCAGAGACCUCACAGACUCUGAAUGUUAGUGUCGUCCGAGUAACUAUACAAUCGUUAAAACUUUCAACAACGGAUCUCUUGGUUCUGGCAUCGAUGAAGAACGCAGCGAAAUGCGAUAAGUAAUGCGAAUUGCAGAAUUCAGUGAGUCAUCGAAUCUUUGAACGCACAUUGCGCCCUGUGGUAUUCCGCAGGGCAUGCCUGUUCGAGCGUCAUUUCAACCCUCAAGCCUCGCUUGGUGUUGGGCCCUGCCCGCCGCGGCCGGCCCUAAAGAUAGUGGCGGCGCCGCCUGGCCCUCAGCGUAGUACAGCUCUCGCUCCAGGGUCCGGCGGCAGCCUGCCAGAACCCCCCAACU
This 418-nucleotide ribosomal RNA is filed under the name Oidiodendron maius. RNAcentral describes it as "eukaryotic LSU rRNA". The stretch from base 125 to 278 matches the Rfam family "5.8S ribosomal RNA". The record is from RNAcentral. RNAcentral also lists the same sequence under 1 other name. Lineage: Eukaryota; Fungi; Ascomycota; Leotiomycetes; Myxotrichaceae.